GGUGAGUAACACGUAGGUAACCUACCCUUAGGCGGGGGAAACUCUGGGAAACUUGAGCUAAUACCGCAUAAAUCCACGGGCUGGGAUGCUUGUGGGGAAAGUGGCAUCACACCUAAGGAUGGGCCUGCGGCCUAUCAGGUAGUUGGUGGGGUAAGAGCCCACCAAGCCGAAGACGGGUAGCCGGGCUGAGAGGUUGAACGGCCACACUGGAACUGAGACACGGUCCAGACUCCUACGGGAGGCAGCAGUGGGGAAUCUUGCGCAAUGGGGGAAACCCUGACGCAGCGACGCCACGUGGAGGAUGAAGGUCUUCGGGUUGUAAACUCCUUUUCUUGGGGAAAAUGAUGAUGGUACUCAAGGAAUAAGCCACGGCUAACUCUGUGCCAGCAGCCGCGGUAAGACAGAGGUGGCGAGCGUUGUUCGGAAUUACUGGGCUUAAAGGGCGAGUAGGCGGUAGAGCAAGUCUGAGGUGGAAUCCUAUGGCUUAACCAUAGAACUGCCUUAGAAACUGCUUUACUUGAGUCAGUGAGGGGAGGGCGGAAUUCCUGGUGUAGCGAUGAAAUGCGUAGAUAUCAGGAGGAAGGCCUGUGGCGAAAGCGGCCCUCUGGCACUGUACUGACGCUGAGGCGCGAAAGCGUGGGGAGCAAACAGGCUUAGAUACCCUGGUAGUCCACGCCCUAAACGGUGGGCAUUAGGUGUAGGGCUCGUAAGUGUUCUGUGCCGAAGAGAAACCAUUAAAUGCCCUGACUGGGGAGUACGGCCGCAAGGUUU
This 771-nucleotide ribosomal RNA is filed under the name uncultured bacterium. RNAcentral describes it as "bacterial SSU rRNA". It matches the Rfam family "Bacterial small subunit ribosomal RNA", at positions 105 to 896 of the family's 1533-position model. The record is from RNAcentral.